RNAcentral lists this ribosomal RNA (353 nucleotides) under uncultured bacterium. RNAcentral's name for it is "bacterial SSU rRNA". It matches the Rfam family "Bacterial small subunit ribosomal RNA", at positions 572 to 932 of the family's 1533-position model. The record is from RNAcentral.
UAGGUGGACGAUUAAGUCAGAGGUGAAAUCCUGCAGCUCAACUGUAGAAUUGCCUUUGAUACUGGUUGUCUUGAAUCAUUGUGAAGUGGUUAGAAUAUGUGGUGUAGCGGUGAAAUGCAUAGAUAUCACAUAGAAUACCGAUUGCGAAGGCAGAUCACUAACAAUGUAUUGACACUGAUGGACGAAAGCGUGGGGAGCGAACAGGAUUAGAUACCCUGGUAGUCCACGCCGUAAACGAUGGAUACUAGCUGUCCGGACUUCGGUCUGGGUGGCUAACNAAAGUGAUAAGUAUCCCACNUGGGGAGUACGUNCNCAGAAUGAACUCAAGGAAUUGACGGGGNCCNCNCAACGGG